UUCUUAUCCAGAGAGGUGGAGGGACUGGCCCUUUGAAGCCUCGGCAACAGACUGCUGCAGUACUGUGCCAAUUCCAGCAAGCUACUAGCUUGAAAGAUGAGAA
RNAcentral lists this non-coding RNA (103 nucleotides) under Terribacillus aidingensis. Its description in RNAcentral is "SAM-I sequence". It matches the Rfam family "SAM riboswitch aptamer (S box leader)". From Rfam's summary of the family: The SAM riboswitch is found upstream of a number of genes which code for proteins involved in methionine or cysteine biosynthesis in Gram-positive bacteria. The SAM riboswitch acts at the level of transcription termination control. Lineage: Bacteria; Bacillati; Bacillota; Bacilli; Caryophanales; Bacillaceae. The record is from Rfam by way of RNAcentral. RNAcentral also lists the same sequence under 1 other name.